CAACUUUCAGCAACGGAUCUCUUGGCUCUCGCAUCGAUGAAGAACGCAGCGAAAUGCGAUAAGUAAUGUGAAUUGCAGAAUUCAGUGAAUCAUCGAAUCUUUGAACGCACCUUGCGCUCNUKGKYAUUYMGAGGAGCAUGCCUGUUUGAGUGUCAUUA
This 158-nucleotide ribosomal RNA is filed under the name Cortinarius aff. clelandii 4 FS-2012. Its description in RNAcentral is "5.8S ribosomal RNA". It matches the Rfam family "5.8S ribosomal RNA". From Rfam's summary of the family: 5.8S ribosomal RNA (5.8S rRNA) is a component of the large subunit of the eukaryotic ribosome. It is transcribed by RNA polymerase I as part of the 45S precursor that also contains 18S and 28S rRNA. Functionally, it is thought that 5.8S rRNA may be involved in ribosome translocation. The record is from RNAcentral. Lineage: Eukaryota; Fungi; Basidiomycota; Agaricomycetes; Agaricales; Cortinariaceae.